CCUACGGGUGGCAGCAGUCGAGAAUCAUUCACAAUGGGGGAAACCCUGAUGGUGCGACGCCGCGUGGGGGAAUGAAUGUCUUCGGAUUGUAAACCCCUGUCAUGUGGGAGCAAAUUAAGAAGAUAGUACCACAAGAGGAAGAGACGGCUAACGCUGUGCCAGCAGCCGCGGUAAUACAGAGGUCUCAAGCGUUGUUCGGAAUCACUGGGCGUAAAGGGUGCGGAGGCUGUUUCGUAAGUCGUGUGUGAAAGGCGCGGGCUCAACCCGCGGACGGCACAUGAUACUGCGUGACUCGAGUAAUGGAGGGGGAACUGGAAUUCUCGGUGUAGCAGUGAAAUGCGUAGAUAUCGAGAGGAACACUCGUGGCGAAGGCGGGUUCCUGGACAUUAACUGACGCUGAGGCACGAAGGCCAGGGGAGCGAAAGGGAUUAGAUACCCCUGUAGUC
RNAcentral lists this ribosomal RNA (446 nucleotides) under uncultured bacterium. RNAcentral's name for it is "partial 16S ribosomal RNA". It matches the Rfam family "Bacterial small subunit ribosomal RNA", at positions 338 to 795 of the family's 1533-position model. The record is from RNAcentral.